Molecule: ribosomal RNA, 255 nt
Filed under: uncultured bacterium
Lineage: Bacteria
Description: partial 16S ribosomal RNA
Rfam family: Bacterial small subunit ribosomal RNA
Source: RNAcentral
UACGAAGGGGGGCUAGCGUUGUUCGGAAUCACUGGGCGUAAAGGGCGCGUAGGCGGCCGAUCAAGUCGGGGGUGAAAGCCUGUGGCUCAACCACAGAAUUGCCUUCGAUACUGUUUGGCUUGAGACCGGAAGAGGUAAGUGGAACUGCGAGUGUAGAGGUGAAAUUCGUAGAUAUUCGCAAGAACACCAGUGGCGAAGGCGGCUUACUGGUCCGGUUCUGACGCUGAGGCGCGAAAGCGUGGGGGAGCAAACAGG